This 69-nucleotide transfer RNA is filed under the name Euryarchaeota archaeon CG01_land_8_20_14_3_00_38_12. RNAcentral's name for it is "tRNA-Leu". The record is from RNAcentral. Lineage: Archaea; Methanobacteriati; Methanobacteriota.
GCGGGGGUACCCAAGCCUGGUCUAAGGGGCAGGGCUUAGGACCCUGUGUCGUAGGACUUCGCCGGUUCA